CAGCCGCCACGGUAAUACGAGGGGGGCAAGCGUUGUUCGGAAUUAUUGGGCGUAAAGCGUGCGUAGGCGGCUUUUUAAGUCGGAUGUGAAAUCCCUGAGCUUAACUUAGGAAUUGCAUUCGAUACUGGGAAGCUAGAGUAUGGGAGAGGAUGGUAGAAUUCCAGGUGUAGCGGUGAAAUGCGUAGAGAUCUGGAGGAAUACCGAUGGCGAAGGCAGCCAUCUGGCCUAAUACUGACGCUGAGGUACGAAAGCAUGGGGAGCAAACAGGAUUAGAUACCCCAGUAGUCCCUGUCUCUUAUAC
Molecule: ribosomal RNA, 301 nt
Filed under: uncultured bacterium
Lineage: Bacteria
Description: partial 16S ribosomal RNA
Rfam family: Bacterial small subunit ribosomal RNA
Source: RNAcentral